AAAAAGUAACGUGUUCUUCUAAGUCUAUUGGAAAAUGGCGCCACAGAGGGUGAUAGCCCCGUCUGAUUCAACACAAUACAUAUCUUCCCCCUCCAAAGAGUCGAGUUGUUUGGGAAUGCAGCUCUAAGUGGGUGGUAAAUUCCAUCUAAAGCUAAAUAUUGGCGAGAGACCGAUAGCGAACAAGUACAGUGAUGGAAAGAUGAAAAGCACUUUGAAAAGAGAGUGAAAAAAGUACGUGAAAUUGUUGAAAGGGAAGGGCUUGCAAGCAGACACAACUUUUUGUUGGGCCAGCAUCGGGGGAGUAGGAGGCAAAAAGGGAGUAGAAAAUGUAGCUUUCGGUGGUUAAUAGUCCUGCC
Molecule: ribosomal RNA, 356 nt
Filed under: Metschnikowia gruessii
Lineage: Eukaryota; Fungi; Ascomycota; Pichiomycetes; Serinales; Metschnikowiaceae
Description: partial 26S ribosomal RNA
Rfam family: Eukaryotic large subunit ribosomal RNA
Source: RNAcentral